Molecule: ribosomal RNA, 254 nt
Filed under: uncultured bacterium
Lineage: Bacteria
Description: partial 16S ribosomal RNA
Rfam family: Bacterial small subunit ribosomal RNA
Source: RNAcentral
CACGUAGGGUGCGAGCGUUGUCCGGAAUUAUUGGGCGUAAAGAGCUCGUAGGCGGUGUGUCGCGUCUGCCGUGAAAACCUGCAGCUUAACUGUGGGCUUGCGGUCGAUACGGGCAUCACUGGAGUUCGGCAGGGGAGACUGGAAUUCCUGGUGUAGCGGUGAAAUGCGCAGAUAUCAGGAGGAACACCGGUGGCGAAGGCGGUUCUCUGGGCCUUACCUGACGCUGAGGCACGAAGGCCAGGGGAGCAAACGGG